GCAACCUACCUUAAACUGGGGGAUAGCCCGGGGAAACCCGGAUUAAUACCGCAUAAGAUCACACGAGGGCAUCCGAGAGUGAUUAAAGAUUUAUUGGUUUAAGAUGGGCAUGCGUGCCAUUAGCUAGUUGGUAGGGUAACGGCCUACCAAGGCUACGAUGGCUAGGGGUUCUGAGAGGAUGAUCC
RNAcentral lists this ribosomal RNA (185 nucleotides) under uncultured Bacteroidota bacterium. RNAcentral describes it as "uncultured Bacteroidetes bacterium partial 16S ribosomal RNA". It matches the Rfam family "Bacterial small subunit ribosomal RNA", at positions 121 to 306 of the family's 1533-position model. The record is from RNAcentral. Lineage: Bacteria; Pseudomonadati; Bacteroidota.